Molecule: ribosomal RNA, 415 nt
Filed under: uncultured bacterium
Lineage: Bacteria
Description: bacterial SSU rRNA
Rfam family: Bacterial small subunit ribosomal RNA
Source: RNAcentral
UGGGUAACCUGCCCUCAAGACGAGGAUAACCGUUGGAAACGAUGGCUAAGACUGGAUAGGAAUACGGGAGGCAUCUUCUGUAUUUUUAAAAGACCUGGGCAACAGGUAUGCUUGAGGAGGGCCUGCGGCGCAUUAGUUAGUUGGUGAGGUGAUGGCUCACCCAAGACGAUGAUGCGUAGCCGGACUGAGAGGUUGAACGGCCACAUUGGGACUGAGAGACGGCCCAAACUCCUACGGGAGGCAGCAGUAGGGAAUUUUCGGCAAGUGGGGGAAACCCUGACCGGAAGCAACGCCGCGUGAACGACGAAGUACUUCGGUAUGUAAAGUUCUUUUAAGAGGGAAGAAUGGCCCGUGGAAAAGCGGGCGUGACGGUACCUUUUGAAUAAGCCCCGGCUAACUAUGUGCCAGCCGCCGC